AAUUUUUAUAACAACUUUAAUCAUGCUUUAAAUUCGACUUAAAAUAAUUAAAAUAAAGUAAUUUAAAUAUUA
Molecule: transfer RNA, 72 nt
Filed under: Aclerda takahashii
Lineage: Eukaryota; Metazoa; Arthropoda; Insecta; Hemiptera; Aclerdidae
Description: tRNA-Arg
Source: RNAcentral